CUACAGAGUAGGUCGCAAUUUUUGAAAGGAAAAUGUAAAUGGUAGUUUUCUCGUGGAUCUUGUUGCCUAGUUGCUUUGAUAAAGGAGGAGGUAUGUUUUAUGAUUGUUUAUAUGUUUUUCUUUACAAUGUCAGAUUCACCAUGUAAAACUUAAACUUAAAAGUAUGUAGAAAGGGAGUCUUCAAAGAACAACGUUCUAUAAAAAAAAAACCUGACCAAAUAAGACACGUUUGAUAUUGCGUAAGAUAUUGCCAUAACAUGGCGUCUAUCAACUUCGUUGUCGUCGUCUAUCGAAAACGUUUACAAAGAUCUCCUACUCUGAAUCAAAAGACCGAUUUCAAUAAAAUUUGGUAAGUUUGAUCAGCCAGCAUAACCACCAUGUCUGCAAAUCAACAGUAAGUACACAAGAAACUAAAAUUAAAAAUAAUACAAGACUAAUAUUGAUCAGAGGCUCUUGACAUCGGACAGGCGCAAAAAUACGGCGGGGUUAAACAUGUUUAUGAGAUCUCAACCCUCCCCCUAUACCUCCAGCCAAUGUAGAAAAGUAAAAGCAUAAAAAUACGCACAUUAAAAUUCAGUUCAAGAGAAGUCCGAGUCUGAUGUCAGAGGAUAUAACUACAGAAAAUAAACAUAAUAACAAUAAUACAUAAAAAAAAACAGACUGCUAGCAGUUAACUGACAUGCUGCUCAGAUUCAAUUAAACUGAUUGAAAUUAUGUCUCGUCAUAUGAAUAGAGGCACAUCCUUCUGUUAGGGGUUUAGAAUCAUACCAUCAUAACAUAUAUGAGAAGAACAUAACCCGUGUCAUGCCAACUUUUUUUUUAAAUGUGUUAAGUUCCGAUGCAAAGACCCUAUAAGUGAAUCAAUAUUAACGCCAAAACAUCAAUCGUUAAUAACCUGACAACAGUAUCGUAACUAUAUCCCUUCUAAAUAAGUUUAUUUAAAGGUUUUGUUAGCUUCUGACGUGAUUCUGACAUUUUUUUGCUUUAUAAAGAAUAUAUAUAUAUAUAUAAAUUGGACCGACAAACCAAUCAAAAGCCAUGGAAUAUAUUUUGGAUAUGACAAAAAAAGAGUGUCAAACUUUAAAUAUUGACAUUUAUUGAAUUUCUAAAUUAUUUAAAAAUCAGAAAACAAGUUAUAUGGGGAAAUAAUAAAUUCAUAAAAUGUCAAGGAAAAUGUUUGUCCUUUGAUAACUGAAUUGAUAGUAACAUACUAUUUACAAAUGACGUAAUAGAUAAAAGAGGAAAUAUAUCAGAAGAAAUGAUUACUCAAAAUUAAGAAUAAAAGGAAUUGGAUUUCUGAAUACUCAAAACUAAAAAAAUCUUUACCAAACAAUGACAGACCAAUUAAAAUCAGAAAAUCAUUCAAAAACAAAAGUCCAUACAACCGAACAAAACUAAACUAAGAAGAUUGUAAUGAUGUUCUAACUAUUAAUGCUAAAAACAUAUACAAAUUAGUAUUGAGUAUGUCAAAAACAGAAAUACAAGUAGGAUUUUUGAAAUGGGAGAGAGUCUUAAGCAAAGGGAGACUAAUAAAUAACUCAUCAUAGAUACCAGGACUAAAUUUAGUACAUACGCCAGACGCGCGUUUCGUCUACAAAAGACUCAUCAGUGACGCUCGAAUCUAAAAAAAUUAAAAGGCCAAAUAAAGCACGACACGGUACUUAUCUGGGUUAAAUCAAUAACAAAUUUAAUGAAGAUUGAAAGCGCAACUAUGAGAAAGAUAUUUACACUCCAACUUACCUCUUCGCAAUAUUAUUUAAUUUCAAACCACAUCGCAAUUAAUAAUCCAAAUUCUCGAAACACUUCAAAACAUAUUGUCCAAACACGAGGAACAGAAAAGUCGUGUGAGGUCACUUGACCGCAAUUCGUUUCUGAUUAGAUAAUAAAAGAACCCCAAAAGUCAUUCCGAAUGAAUGAUCAAUUUCCGUAAAAAAAUUAUUGUGUUGAUAUUUUUUAUGAAAACAUCUGAAACUACUUUUUGUGAAGUAGCAAAGACUAUUUGUAACAACUAUAAUAAUAGUUUAAUGUGUUAAUUAAAACAAUGUAAUUUAUUAGUUAAUUUUACUGAAUAUUAUCCUGGGAUUCAGUGGUAAUUUAACAGGGAAACUUGAUGAAAUGCUGUACACCAAGUUUAAUUGUUAAACAGCAAUAUGUGCAAUAAAGAAUCAAUUAGAGUGUUUAAAAAAAAAGAAUAUUUCCAUAAAAAAAAUUGAAUAUGUAAUUCCUAAACGUAUAAGUAUGUUCAAGGUUUGUUGAAUAAGCGUUUUAUUUUGGCAAUGUGGUUAGUUUGUUCAGUUAGCAGUUGAUGUGUUCUCUUUAAUUAGGUCUGUUGGUUGGUUGUGAUUGUCUGUGCAGGUUGUUGCUAUAGGACUGGGUAUUUUUGUAUUACUGUUAAAGUUUUUUUUCAAUUAGUUGUGACUAUGGUUGUUGGCGUUUGUUGAAAUAACAUUUCACGUUCCCAUUUUGGUAUGUAUUUUUAGUUGGUGAUUGACUGCUUGUACUGUUAAAAUAAUGCUGUCUUUGUCUGUGUAAAUUUUGUUUUGUUGGUGGUGACUGUGUAUGUUGAUGUUUGUCAAUUGGUUGUUGAAAUGCCAGUGAAAGGUUUCUUUAUGGUUUACGCGGACAUACAUAUGGCCAUUUAAGCUUUGAAAUAACUGCAGUUUUCCAGCUGGUUAAUAAGUAAUAGCACGUAGUUGGAUAAUUUAUUUUGUAAAUUUCACAUCCAAAGUGAUUUAAGAUCAAAUAGUUCAAGCACAGAUAUUCAGUGUUGAGUCUUAUCAGAUGAUGUUACUAUUGCGCAAAGGAGGUUUGUGGUUAUGACAUUAUGAAUAUAUCUAAAGUCAGCUGUAACAUGUGUGUUCUGUAACGAUAUACCAACUCGACAUAUGCGGACUGAAUGACUUCAACUUUUUUACUAAUAAUCACAGGUUCAACAUACGCCUUCACUAUCAUCAAUGCUUCCGAAUCAAUAUCUUGAAAACAAAACGACAUCCAAAGUUCAACUUUUUCAAAAUAUAUAAACGUUGUAGGAGAAGACAGAAUAUAGGGUAUCCAUCUAUUAUAACACACAGUCAGCGCAUGCACUGCAAAAAAAUGAACAGCGCUUUAAUUGCUGAUCUUCAUCUCAAAGUUACAGCGAAAUCUUUAUCACGGAACCAAAAUAAAUCUCGCCUUACUGCAAAUUUUACAUGGUCCUAAGCAUAAUUGAAUUCUCUGAAAUUAUUCAGAUAGACUUUGUUACCAAAUCCGGCCCGGUCAAAAAGAACAAAUUGAAAGUAAGACAUAUUUAUAAAGAAUUUAAUGUAAAGAACUACUGAUCCUUGUGGAACACAUUUCGACUGAUCAGUUUUAGUAAUACACAAAAUAAUGAGUUGAUUUGAGCUGUUCUUCCUCACAACUCUGUUAAAGCAUUGGUUUGUAACUGUGUAAGGAGUACACUCCUGAAAACGUUCAUUCAGUCGUCAGCGUUUCACUCUGUGGUUAAAGUUUUUGAAAUUCUAAUAACUUUCGUAAACUGUCCUUGAUUUGUACCAAACUUGAACUGAGCUUUUUUUAUGAUCAUAAAAUAGCGUCCAGAAAAUUGGUUUGUUAAACAAAAUAUUAUGUUUACCCGUAUUUAACUGAUAAAUGGACAUAGUAGUUCUGCCAUUUAACAUUACAUUCAGUCUGUGGUUAAAGUUUUUUAAAUAUUAAUAACUUUCUUAACCUAUCCUGGAUUCGUACCAAACUUGGACAGAAGCUUGUUUAUGAUCAAAGGCUAGUAUCUAGAAGGAAAUUUUGUAAAAAUAUUUUUACUUUUUUUCAAGUUGUUUCUUAAUUAUUUUCGUAAUUUUCCUCCAGUAGGUUAACCAUAACAUGAAUUAUGUAAAACCUAGCAUUAAAUGAUCCGAAAAUAUGUUAAAUGUUUCAUGCACCUUGCCUUAAAAAAUUAAAUUAAUAAUUCUUAUAAAAUAUAUCUGGUCCCUGAAACAUAUCUCAAAAAUAGACAUGCAUGCAGAUGUAAUUUGUUUUUAAUCAUGAACAAAUAAAAUACUUUUUCCCGGUUUGUUUAUAACAAGCCAUCAUUGUUAUAGAAAUGUUACAUGUAUGUUAUAGAAAUGUUACAUUUCAGGUACGUUUCAGUAUCAAAUCAUUUCAUAAAAUAAUGUAAGAUUUGUUUGACACUAUCAUUAUGAAGUUUUGAUGAUCUUACAGAUAUUACAUACAUAAUACAGAGGUGUCCCCCAUAAAUUCCAAACAUAAAUUAUUACCCUUAUAAAUGUAAAAUAAGAGAUGAAAGAAAAUUUUGUCAUACUUUAUACUAUGAGACUAUUUGUUAGAUAAACUUAUUGCAGUCUUACUUAUAUGCUGCUUAUUUAUAUUAUUCUUAUCUAAACAUUAAAAAAUGACAAAUAACUUGCAUGAUACUUUAUUUAAGUUGAAUUAAUUUUUUGUAUUGAAUUAUUAUUGAAUAUAAUGAGUCAAGACACGUUUUAGGUCAUUUUUUAUCAUCUGUAUGAUCUCUGAAUAUUUACGAAAUUCAAUGAGUAGUUACUUAAGGUCCAUAAAUAAUUCACUAAAAUUAAAAUUAUGAAAGCAACCAUUAUUUAGGUUAUGCUUAAACCGGAUAGCAUCUGCCAAUUUAGUUAAGUAUCAUAAAGCUGAAUGGUGCCCCUGGUGUACUAAGUUAUUAUUCUGGUAUCUUUAACGAGUUUUUAUUGUAUUCCGUGUCUUCAAAACCAGGCUUUGAAGAAAUUGAGAUGUUAUAUUUUAAAAGCAUAAUAUGGACCCCUUUCCCUCAAAGCAAUUGACAUUUUAGCUUUAUUUAAUCUCUUCGCUACAAUUGUUCUUGAAUACACACAUAUCAGUGUACCAUCUUGCAAUAGAUAAAUACAACCAAGAUUCUUUCUGAUGGAAGUAAACCCAAUUUUGAAACAAUUUAAAAGAGGGACGAAAGAUACCAAAGGAACAGUCAAACUCAUAAAUCCAAAACAAACUGACAACGCCAUGGCUAAAAAUGAAAAAGACAAACAGAAACAAUAUACACACGACACAACAUAGAAACUAAGAAUAAACAACACGAACCCACCAAAAACUAGAGUGAUCUCAGGUGCUCGGAAGGGUAAGCAAUCCUGCUCCACAUGUGGCACCCGUCGUGUUGCUUAUGUUGAUUACAAAUCCGGUAAAUAGUCUAAUUCGGUAGUCAUAUUCAUGAAAGGGAAGGGGAUUGUAGUUACGACGUAGGCAUAUCCUAUCAUUUGUGAAACGGUAUUCCAUAACGGUCAACCAACGUGAUGGCAUCGUAAAUUUACGAAGGGAUGAUUUCAACUUCACCAUUGAAACUCUUGGUUUAAUAGCUUCCUUGUGAGCAGCAACCCUUUAUCAGAAAAUCAUGAUAGAAAUGCAAGCACGGGAAAUAUAUCAAUUGGGAGAUAUACCCCGUAUCCAGGUGCUGCGAAAUGUUGCUAGAAAUGAAAAUGCACAAUUGGAAAGGUGAAAUCAUCUCCUUUGUCGUAAAGUUUUGUUUUCAACCGACCCUCAUUGUCAAUUUCUAGAUGUAAGUCAAGAUAUGAAGCUAAACGUCAUUUGACAGCUACUUUUGCAUCAUUCUAUCUUCAAAAUCUUACAAUCAAUAUAAACAAAAAUUUCAUGUAUUGAAUAUUUGCUGCUUACAUUUCAUUUUAUUUAUUGAUAUUUUCAAUAACAAUGAGUAACAAAUGAAAUUUUUUGAAUGCACAGGACUCAUGACAAGUAAAUUUGUUCCACAACCAGGGUCCAGUUACUUAUUUCAUUUCACGGUGUCAAUCUGUGCUAACUUUUACCUUUUAUGAUUAUUUUCUAUGUAUAUGUUAACUAUAUUUUGUCUAUAGUCUAUAGAUUUAGUGUAAAAUAUGAUCAAAUAUUGUCUAAUCGAAAAUUUGAAAUUGACCAAUCUUUUAAAUUAUAAAUGUGUGCUAUUGUAUUUGUUUGUUUCAUUAACGCGUUUUAUUUUGCUGUGUCUCAAAAUACAAUCUUUAGGCUGUUAGUACAUGCGUAUUUCUUUAACAUUAUUUUCAUAAUUUACAGUUUAUCGUGGAAUUACAAAGCAGUAUGUGAGAAAAUUCUAAAAAGCAGUACCAAUAAGUAAGGAGUCGGUUCUGAACAUUAUUUUAACUGGAUUAGCAAGAGGGCAGAUGAAAAAUUUUGAGAAAUAAUUUCCAUUGGAACUAUCAG
This 6192-nucleotide long non-coding RNA is filed under the name Mytilus galloprovincialis (Mediterranean mussel). Lineage: Eukaryota; Metazoa; Mollusca; Bivalvia; Mytilida; Mytilidae. The record is from RNAcentral.